AACGUAGGACGCAAGCGUUAUCCGGAGUUACUGGGCGUAAAGCGCGCGCAGGUGGACUGUUAAGUUAGCCAUGAAAGCUCCCGGCUAAACUGGGAGAGGCUGGUUGAUACUGGCAGUCUUGAGUGAGUGAGAGGGAAGUGGAAUUCCGCGUGUAGUGGUGAAAUGCGUAGAGAUGCGGAGGAACACCAGAGGCGAAGGCGGCUUCCUGGCACUUUACUGACACUGAGGCGCGAAAGCAUGGGUAGCGAACGGG
This 253-nucleotide unclassified non-coding RNA is filed under the name uncultured Anaerolineae bacterium. Its description in RNAcentral is "contains 16S-23S intergenic spacer region". It matches the Rfam family "Bacterial small subunit ribosomal RNA", at positions 524 to 776 of the family's 1533-position model. The record is from RNAcentral. Lineage: Bacteria; Bacillati; Chloroflexota; Anaerolineae.